Long non-coding RNA from Rhineura floridana, 558 nucleotides. RefSeq lists it as uncharacterized. The transcript has 3 exons. The record is from RefSeq and is a predicted model, not a curated record. NCBI's taxonomy places the organism in Eukaryota, Metazoa, Chordata, Lepidosauria, Squamata, Rhineuridae.
GCCGUUGUGUCUCCGCCCCGUUUCCCCUCCCAGGAAGCUGCAAGAUUAUCACAUUAGCACCCCCCAGAUGAAAGGUAUCUGCUGUGCUCUUUUUACUCCAAGCAGAGAGAGAAAGAGAUCCUGUGUUGAAUUCAUUUCAUGGAUAUGGCUGCACUGUAUGCAUAGAGUGCCAGAUGUAGAAGUUUCUUACAUGCUCAGAAGAGACAGGAAAGACUGUCUUUGCCUGUUAAAGAUAAUAAGUCUUCAACUUCUGUCAUCAGAAUGAACUCAAGGUUGCGUAAAGAGAAAUCCUCAGUGAACCAGUAACAAAGAUUGACACAAAAAGUGAAUAUACAAAGGCUGAAAAAGUGGUGCUGUGAAAAAGUGCCUUACUUCAUAAAUUGCUUCUGCAUGCAAGAUGCAUUACAUUUGGUGUAAAACAUGUAUACACAUUCUUUACAAUUUGUACACAUUUAAAUGGCUGUAUCAUAACACUUUAUGGAAUUAUGGAAGACUAAAUUAAGAAAGAAACAAAUGUGUAGAAAAAUAAUUAAAUACCUGGCAAUAGAAAGCAUUUGA